Lolium rigidum is the source of this 515-nucleotide long non-coding RNA. RefSeq lists it as uncharacterized. Lineage: Eukaryota; Viridiplantae; Streptophyta; Magnoliopsida; Poales; Poaceae. The transcript is spliced from 3 exons. The record is from RefSeq and is a predicted model, not a curated record.
UUUAAAGUUUGUGAAGACAAGAACACCACAAGCGCCCAAUCAAAGUGCAGAUAUUUACUUCAUAAUUCUGAAUGCCAGAUUGCAAUGUGGUCUAAACUCAUACUCCUGAUGAUGCUUGAUGGCUCUACUACCACGCGAAUAUGCAAGAAUAUAGCACACGUGCUACAGAUCAACCAAAAAGGCUUUGUGCAACCCAGCAACAGGUGCUGCUGCAUUUCAUCCUGUACAGGAAGUUAGCUUGUUCUUCUUCUGGAUGCUCCACCACUAGCUUCUGGCAAUACUCCUCGCAUGCGUGGAUCCCAUCAACCAUUGGCUCCCACUGAGAAAGGGCUUGGAACCCAUGAAAGUAGCAAACCACAGAGCUUCUUUUGCCUCGACAACAUAUACCUCUCCGUGUGAUCUGUGGUUAUAGUUCAGAUCCACCAGGCAAAUAGAUUUCCCGCUCUUCAGAACUGAUAUGGCAGCUUUGCAGCUGCUCUUUACUGCCUCUUCCUUGGAUGAAGCUUCAGGACUGG